This 169-nucleotide ribosomal RNA is filed under the name uncultured bacterium. RNAcentral describes it as "partial 16S ribosomal RNA". It matches the Rfam family "Bacterial small subunit ribosomal RNA", at positions 338 to 524 of the family's 1533-position model. The record is from RNAcentral.
CCUACGGGAGGCAGCAGUGGGGAAUAUUGGACAAUGGGGGCAACCCUGAUCCAGCAAUGCCGCGCGAGUGAUGAAGGCCUUAGGGUUGUAAAGCUCUUUCGCACGCGACGAUGAUGACGGUAGCGUGAGAAGAAGCCCCGGCUAACUUCGUGCCAGCAGCCGCGGUAAU